This 446-nucleotide ribosomal RNA is filed under the name uncultured bacterium. RNAcentral's name for it is "bacterial SSU rRNA". It matches the Rfam family "Bacterial small subunit ribosomal RNA", at positions 329 to 793 of the family's 1533-position model. The record is from RNAcentral.
UGCCAGACUCCUACGGGAGGCAGCAGUGGGGGAUAUUGCACAAUGGGGGAAACCCUGAUGCAGCGACGCCGCGUGAGGGAAGACGGUCCUCGGAUUGUAAACCUCUGGCUUUGGGGAAGAAAAUGACGGUACCCAAAGAGGAAGCUCCGGCUAACUACGUGCCAGCAGCCGCGGUAAUACGGAGGAUGCGAGCGUUAUCCGGAUUUAUUGGGUUUAAAGGGUGCGCAGGCGGCACGGCAAGCCGGCGGUCAAAUCGCGGGGCUCAACCCCGCCCAGCCGUCGGAACUGCCGGGUUAGAGUGGGCGAGAAGUGCGCGGAAUGCGUGGUGUAGCGGUGAAAUGCAUAGAUAUCACGCAGAACUCCGAUUGCGAAGGCAGCGCACCGGCGCCCUACUGACGCUCAGGCACGAAAGCGUGGGUAUCGAACAGGAUUAGAUACCCCCGUAC